GAUAAACGCUGGCGGCGUGCCUAAUACAUGCAAGUCGAGCGAACGGACGAGAAGCUUGCUUCUCUGAUGUUAGCGGCGGACGGGUGAGUAACACGUGGAUAACCUACCUAUAAGACUGGGAUAACUUCGGGAAACCGGAGCUAAUACCGGAUAAUAUUUUGAACCGCAUGGUUCAAAAGUGAAAGACGGUCUUGCUGUCACUUAUAGAUGGAUCCGCGCUGCAUUAGCUAGUUGGUAAGGUAACGGCUUACCAAGGCAACGAUGCAUAGCCGACCUGAGAGGGUGAUCGGCCACACUGGAACUGAGACACGGUCCAGACUCCUACGGGAGGCAGCAGUAGGGAAUCUUCCGCAAUGGGCGAAAGCCUGACGGAGCAACGCCGCGUGAGUGAUGAAGGUCUUCGGAUCGUAAAACUCUGUUAUUAGGGAAGAACAUAUGUGUAAGUAACUGUGCACAUCUUGACGGUACCUAAUCAGAAAGCCACGGCUAACUACGUGCCAGCAGCCGCGGUAAUACGUAGGUGGCAAGCGUUAUCCGGAAUUAUUGGGCGUAAAGCGCGCGUAGGCGGUUUUUUAAGUCUGAUGUGAAAGCCCACGGCUCAACCGUGGAGGGUCAUUGGAAACUGGAAAACUUGAGUGCAGAAGAGGAAAGUGGAAUUCCAUGUGUAGCGGUGAAAUGCGCAGAGAUAUGGAGGAACACCAGUGGCGAAGGCGACUUUCUGGUCUGUAACUGACGCUGAUGUGCGAAAGCGUGGGGAUCAAACAGGAUUAGAUACCCUGGUAGUCCACGCCGUAAACGAUGAGUGCUAAGUGUUAGGGGGUUUCCGCCCCUUAGUGCUGCAGCUAACGCAUUAAGCACUCCGCCUGGGGAGUACGACCGCAAGGUUGAAACUCAAAGGAAUUGACGGGGACCCGCACAAGCGGUGGAGCAUGUGGUUUAAUUCGAAGCAACGCGAAGAACCUUACCAAAUCUUGACAUCCUUUGACAACUCUAGAGAUAGAGCCUUCCCCUUCGGGGGACAAAGUGACAGGUGGUGCAUGGUUGUCGUCAGCUCGUGUCGUGAGAUGUUGGGUUAAGUCCCGCAACGAGCGCAACCCUUAAGCUUAGUUGCCAUCAUUAAGUUGGGCACUCUAAGUUGACUGCCGGUGACAAACCGGAGGAAGGUGGGGAUGACGUCAAAUCAUCAUGCCCCUUAUGAUUUGGGCUACACACGUGCUACAAUGGACAAUACAAAGGGCAGCGAAACCGCGAGGUCAAGCAAAUCCCAUAAAGUUGUUCUCAGUUCGGAUUGUAGUCUGCAACUCGACUACAUGAAGCUGGAAUCGCUAGUAAUCGUAGAUCAGCAUGCUACAGUGAAUACGUUCCCGGGUCU
Molecule: ribosomal RNA, 1372 nt
Filed under: uncultured bacterium
Lineage: Bacteria
Description: bacterial SSU rRNA
Rfam family: Bacterial small subunit ribosomal RNA
Source: RNAcentral